ACGCUGGCGGCACGCCUAACACAUGCAAGUCGAACGAAGUAGCAAUACUUAGUGGCAGACGGGUGAGUAACAUGUAGGUAUCUGCCCUUUGGCCUGGAAUAACACGAGGAAACUUGUGCUAAUACCGGAUAAGUCUUUACGGAGAAAGCUUUAUGCACCAUUGGAUGAGCCUGCACUUGAUUAGUUUGUUGGUGGGGUAAUGGCCUACCAAGACUGUGAUCAAUAGCUGAUUUGAGAGGAUGAUCAGCCACAUUGGGACUGAGACACGGCCCAAACUCCUACGGGAGGCAGCAGUGGGGAAUCUUGCACAAUGGAGGAAACUCUGAUGCAGCGAUGCCGCGUGAGUGAAGAAGGCCCUUGGGUUGUAAAGCUCUUUCGUCGGGGAAGAAAAUGACUGUACCCGAAUAAGAAGGUCCGGCUAACUUCGUGCCAGCAGCCGCGGUAAUACGAAGGGACCUAGCGUAGUUCGGAAUUACUGGGCUUAAAGAGUUCGUAGGUGGUUGAAAAAGUUAGUGGUGAAAUCCCAGAGCUUAACUCUGGAACUGCCAUUAAAACUUUUCA
This 561-nucleotide ribosomal RNA is filed under the name uncultured Pseudomonadota bacterium. RNAcentral's name for it is "bacterial SSU rRNA". It matches the Rfam family "Bacterial small subunit ribosomal RNA", at positions 33 to 639 of the family's 1533-position model. Lineage: Bacteria; Pseudomonadati; Pseudomonadota. The record is from RNAcentral.